This is a non-coding RNA of Pteropus alecto (black flying fox), 164 nucleotides long. The record is from Rfam. NCBI's taxonomy places the organism in Eukaryota, Metazoa, Chordata, Mammalia, Chiroptera, Pteropodidae.
AUACUUACCUGGCAGGGGAGACACCACGAUCAGGAAGGUGGUUCUCCCAGGGCGAGGCUCUGCCAUUGCACUCGGGCCGUGCUGACCCCUGCGAUUUCCCCACAUGUGGGAGACUCGACUGCACAAUUUCUGCUAGUGGGGGACUGCGUGCGCGCUCUCCCCUC